RNAcentral lists this ribosomal RNA (166 nucleotides) under uncultured Bacteroidota bacterium. Its description in RNAcentral is "uncultured Bacteroidetes bacterium partial 16S ribosomal RNA". It matches the Rfam family "Bacterial small subunit ribosomal RNA", at positions 344 to 526 of the family's 1533-position model. The record is from RNAcentral. Lineage: Bacteria; Pseudomonadati; Bacteroidota.
GGGGGCACACAGGGUAACNUUGCGCAAUGGACUGUAUGGUCUGACGCAGCGACACCGCGUGGAGGAUGAAUGCUUUAGGGUUGUAAACUCCUUUUCUUAGGGAAGAUGAUGACGGUACCUAAGGAAUAAGCAUCGGCUAACUACGUGCCAGCAGCCGCGGUAAUAU